UGGUGGAAACGGGACAUCUUGACUGU
RNAcentral lists this non-coding RNA (26 nucleotides) under Homo sapiens (human). The record is from RNAcentral. Lineage: Eukaryota; Metazoa; Chordata; Mammalia; Primates; Hominidae.